UUAAGCGACUAAGCGUACACGGUGGAUGCCCUGGCAGUCAGAGGCGAUGAAGGACGUGCUAAUCUGCGAUAAGCGUCGGUAAGGUGAUAUGAACCGUUAUAACCGGCGAUUUCCGAAUGGGGAAACCCAGUGUGUUUCGACACACUAUCAUUAACUGAAUCCAUAGGUUAAUGAGGCGAACCGGGGGAACUGAAACAUCUAAGUACCCCGAGGAAAAGAAAUCAACCGAGAUUCCCCCAGUAGCGGCGAGCGAACGGGGAGCAGCCCAGAGCCUGAAUCAGUGUGUGUGUUAGUGGAAGCGUCUGGAAAGGCGCGCGAUACAGGGUGACAGCCCCGUACACAAAAAUGCACAUGCUGUGAGCUCGAUGAGUAGGGCGGGACACGUGGUAUCCUGUCUGAAUAUGGGGGGACCAUCCUCCAAGGCUAAAUACUCCUGACUGACCGAUAGUGAACCAGUACCGUGAGGGAAAGGCGAAAAGAACCCCGGCGAGGGGAGUGAAAAAGAACCUGAAACCGUGUACGUACAAGCAGUGGGAGCACGCUUAGGCGUGUGACUGCGUACCUUUUGUAUAAUGGGUCAGCGACUUAUAUUCUGUAGCAAGGUUAACCGAAUAGGGGAGCCGAAGGGAAACCGAGUCUUAACUGGGCGUUAAGUUGCAGGGUAUAGACCCGAAACCCGGUGAUCUAGCCAUGGGCAGGUUGAAGGUUGGGUAACACUAACUGGAGGACCGAACCGACUAAUGUUGAAAAAUUAGCGGAUGACUUGUGGCUGGGGGUGAAAGGCCAAUCAAACCGGGAGAUAGCUGGUUCUCCCCGAAAGCUAUUUAGGUAGCGCCUCGUGAAUUCAUCUCCGGGGGUAGAGCACUGUUUCGGCAAGGGGGUCAUCCCGACUUACCAACCCGAUGCAAACUGCGAAUACCGGAGAAUGUUAUCACGGGAGACACACGGCGGGUGCUAACGUCCGUCGUGAAGAGGGAAACAACCCAGACCGCCAGCUAAGGUCCCAAAGUCAUGGUUAAGUGGGAAACGAUGUGGGAAGGCCCAGACAGCCAGGAUGUUGGCUUAGAAGCAGCCAUCAUUUAAAGAAAGCGUAAUAGCUCACUGGUCGAGUCGGCCUGCGCGGAAGAUGUAACGGGGCUAAACCAUGCACCGAAGCUGCGGCAGCGACGCUUAUGCGUUGUUGGGUAGGGGAGCGUUCUGUAAGCCUGCGAAGGUGUGCUGUGAGGCAUGCUGGAGGUAUCAGAAGUGCGAAUGCUGACAUAAGUAACGAUAAAGCGGGUGAAAAGCCCGCUCGCCGGAAGACCAAGGGUUCCUGUCCAACGUUAAUCGGGGCAGGGUGAGUCGACCCCUAAGGCGAGGCCGAAAGGCGUAGUCGAUGGGAAACAGGUUAAUAUUCCUGUACUUGGUGUUACUGCGAAGGGGGGACGGAGAAGGCUAUGUUGGCCGGGCGACGGUUGUCCCGGUUUAAGCGUGUAGGCUGGUUUUCCAGGCAAAUCCGGAAAAUCAAGGCUGAGGCGUGAUGACGAGGCACUACGGUGCUGAAGCAACAAAUGCCCUGCUUCCAGGAAAAGCCUCUAAGCAUCAGGUAACAUCAAAUCGUACCCCAAACCGACACAGGUGGUCAGGUAGAGAAUACCAAGGCGCUUGAGAGAACUCGGGUGAAGGAACUAGGCAAAAUGGUGCCGUAACUUCGGGAGAAGGCACGCUGAUAUGUAGGUGAAGUCCCUCGCGGAUGGAGCUGAAAUCAGUCGAAGAUACCAGCUGGCUGCAACUGUUUAUUAAAAACACAGCACUGUGCAAACACGAAAGUGGACGUAUACGGUGUGACGCCUGCCCGGUGCCGGAAGGUUAAUUGAUGGGGUUAGCCGCAAGGCGAAGCUCUUGAUCGAAGCCCCGGUAAACGGCGGCCGUAACUAUAACGGUCCUAAGGUAGCGAAAUUCCUUGUCGGGUAAGUUCCGACCUGCACGAAUGGCGUAAUGAUGGCCAGGCUGUCUCCACCCGAGACUCAGUGAAAUUGAACUCGCUGUGAAGAUGCAGUGUACCCGCGGCAAGACGGAAAGACCCCGUGAACCUUUACUAUAGCUUGACACUGAACAUUGAGCCUUGAUGUGUAGGAUAGGUGGGAGGCUUUGAAGUGUGGACGCCAGUCUGCAUGGAGCCGACCUUGAAAUACCACCCUUUAAUGUUUGAUGUUCUAACGUUGACCCGUAAUCCGGGUUGCGGACAGUGUCUGGUGGGUAGUUUGACUGGGGCGGUCUCCUCCUAAAGAGUAACGGAGGAGCACGAAGGUUGGCUAAUCCUGGUCGGACAUCAGGAGGUUAGUGCAAUGGCAUAAGCCAGCUUGACUGCGAGCGUGACGGCGCGAGCAGGUGCGAAAGCAGGUCAUAGUGAUCCGGUGGUUCUGAAUGGAAGGGCCAUCGCUCAACGGAUAAAAGGUACUCCGGGGAUAACAGGCUGAUACCGCCCAAGAGUUCAUAUCGACGGCGGUGUUUGGCACCUCGAUGUCGGCUCAUCACAUCCUGGGGCUGAAGUAGGUCCCAAGGGUAUGGCUGUUCGCCAUUUAAAGUGGUACGCGAGCUGGGUUUAGAACGUCGUGAGACAGUUCGGUCCCUAUCUGCCGUGGGCGCUGGAGAACUGAGGGGGGCUGCUCCUAGUACGAGAGGACCGGAGUGGACGCAUCACUGGUGUUCGGGUUGUCAUGCCAAUGGCACUGCCCGGUAGCUAAAUGCGGAAGAGAUAAGUGCUGAAAGCAUCUAAGCACGAAACUUGCCCCGAGAUGAGUUCUCCCUGACNUG
RNAcentral lists this ribosomal RNA (2796 nucleotides) under Escherichia coli. Its description in RNAcentral is "bacterial LSU rRNA". It matches the Rfam family "Bacterial large subunit ribosomal RNA". The record is from RNAcentral. Lineage: Bacteria; Pseudomonadati; Pseudomonadota; Gammaproteobacteria; Enterobacterales; Enterobacteriaceae.